RNAcentral lists this long non-coding RNA (1032 nucleotides) under Anser brachyrhynchus (Pink-footed goose). Its description in RNAcentral is "lncRNA (ENSABRG00000022612.1)". Lineage: Eukaryota; Metazoa; Chordata; Aves; Anseriformes; Anatidae. The record is from RNAcentral.
GGGGGGCUGCCCCCCGGGGUGUGCGUACGUGGGGACGGGGGGCUGCCCUCGGGCUGUGCGUACCUGGUCCCGGGGGGCUGCCCCCCGGGGUGUGCGUGUGUGGGGCUGGGGGCUGCCCCACGGGGUCUGCCUACCUAGGGUGGGGGCUGCCCCACCGGGCACGCGUAGCUGGGGCCGGGGCUGCCCCACGGCCCCCGGCUCGGGGCCCAGGGCCCUCACACGGCCUCCUGCGCCCGCCGGUACUCGAAGAGGCUCCCGCGCUCCGCAAAGCUCCGGGGCGCCGGCGGCUCCGCACCAUCCUCGGCAUCCCCGGCAUCCCCAGGGGGCCCGAAGCCGCCCCCACCGGGGGUCUGCAGGCAGAAGACGUCCUGCGGAGGGGAGAGGAGGCAACAGGGCCGGGGGUGGGGGGGACACACGCAUCUCACCCCCGCCUGCACCGGCACCGAUGUCUUGGCGCCCAGGUUGAUGGCUCGCCCGUCGCGGCGCAGCAGCAGGUUGAGCCCCAGGGCGCCGGGGCUGCCGCCUGCCGGGGACAAGGGGGCGAGCGGGGUGCCGUGGGGCGCGCCCUGGGGCAUGCCGUCGGGCGCACCAUGGGGCACGCCGUGGGGCACACCGUGGGGCACAGGGCUCACCUUGCAGGCCGUAGGGCUGGAUGGCGCGGCGCUCGCUCAGCACCGACAGCACCAUGUCCUGGCGGAAGAGCAGCUCCCGGCACACGCCGUCGCCCCCCCGGAAGCGCCCGGCGCCCCCCGAGCCGCGGCGCAGCUCGAAGCGCUGCAGGACCACGGGGUACCUGGGGGGCGCACGGUCAGGCGGCGCGGGACCGAGCGCGGCCCCCCCCGGCCCUGCACCCACCGCUGCUCCAGGACCUCGGGGUCGGUGAUGCGCGUGUUGGUCAUGUGCGUGUGCACCCCGCUGCGGCCGUGCCAGCGGGGACCGGCCCCCGCGCCCCCCGCCACCGUCUCGUAGUAGCCCACGCGCUCGUUCCCGAAGGUGACGUUGUUCAUGCAGCCCUGGGGAGAGGUGCCACGG